CUCUCUCUCUCUUUCUCUCUCUCUCUCUCUUUGUCUCUGCUCUCUGGUGAAAUCUUUUGUUUUUGUGACUCUGUUGGGUGGCUCUGACUUCACAACCUGUUUUUCUUAUUUGUGUUCAAUUUCAGGUGAAUGUGUGUGUGUGUGUUUUGUUGGGACAUGUAGAAACAUCUGAUUCAUGUGGAAAAUCUGUGUCUUCCACUCUUUUCAGGAGACUCACAUUCAGUUUCUCUAAUAAACCUGCAGGGAUGUUUUCCACACCUCCAAAGUGAGGUUCUUCUUGAACAGCUACACAUCCUUUCAGACCC
This is a long non-coding RNA of Pygocentrus nattereri (red-bellied piranha), 305 nucleotides long. RefSeq lists it as uncharacterized. The transcript has 3 exons. The record is from RefSeq and is a predicted model, not a curated record. NCBI's taxonomy places the organism in Eukaryota, Metazoa, Chordata, Actinopteri, Characiformes, Serrasalmidae.